AUUGAACGCUGGCGGCAUGCCUUACACAUGCAAGUCGAACGGCAGCACGGGUGCUUGCACCUGGUGGCGAGUGGCGAACGGGUGAGUAAUACAUCGGAACAUGUCCUGUAGUGGGGGAUAGCCCGGCGAAAGCCGGAUUAAUACCGCAUACGAUCUACGGAUGAAAGCGGGGGCCCUUCGGGCCUCGCGCUAUAGGGUUGGCCGAUGGCUGAUUAGCUAGGUGGUGGGGUAAAGGCCUACCAAGGCGACGAUCAGUAGCUGGUCUGAGAGGACGACCAGCCACACUGGGACUGAGACACGGCCCAGACUCCUACGGGAGGCAGCAGUGGGGAAUUUUGGACAAUGGGCGAAAGCCUGAUCCAGCAAUGCCGCGUGUGUGAAGAAGGCCUUCGGGUUGUAAAGCACUUUUGUCCGGAAAGAAAUCCUUGGCCCUAAUACGGUCGGGGGAUGACGGUACCGGAAGAAUAAGCACCGGCUAACUACGUG
RNAcentral lists this ribosomal RNA (486 nucleotides) under uncultured bacterium. RNAcentral's name for it is "partial 16S ribosomal RNA". It matches the Rfam family "Bacterial small subunit ribosomal RNA", at positions 30 to 507 of the family's 1533-position model. The record is from RNAcentral.